GAAGAGGCGAAGAUGGAGGUGGUGGAGGAUCCCUGCAAAUGUGAGGCCAGGGUGGCCUUUCAGAAGCAGACUCAGGCGGCCAUCCAGCAGCUCACAGCCAAGAUAGCUGACGUGUCCGGAAGAAUAGAGCGUCUGGAGAGCGCGCUGGCUUGAGUUUGAAGCUUCACAUGGUAGCGUCCAUGGACCACUGCAUCAUGUGCUUCCUGUCUAUGACCACCAGCAGCAACUCAUUACCACAUUUCCAGCAAAUUCACCUUUAAAAAAAUUAUAUCAAUGUUAAACAAUUAGAAUAGAAUGUAUUAAACUCCAUGAAAUUUAUAAACGUGACUAACACUUAUUUACUUUGUGAAUCUAAUCUGAUAUAAAUGAAUUAUUUUUGCAUCGUUUUUGUACAAAAAUGUUAUAAAAUGUAUAUACGACAAUACAUGUCAAUUGAAAAAGUGCCUUUAUGUGGAGUAUUUUUGCCUAUUUACUAUACAGUAACAUGUUAGAUGUCACAUUCUAAUGCUUGAUAAAAAUGAGAAAUUAUUACAAUGUGUAUCCUUAAAU
This 549-nucleotide long non-coding RNA is filed under the name Oryzias javanicus (javanese ricefish). RNAcentral describes it as "lncRNA (ENSOJAG00000020897.1)". Lineage: Eukaryota; Metazoa; Chordata; Actinopteri; Beloniformes; Adrianichthyidae. The record is from RNAcentral.